Molecule: long non-coding RNA, 206 nt
Filed under: Sorghum bicolor (sorghum)
Lineage: Eukaryota; Viridiplantae; Streptophyta; Magnoliopsida; Poales; Poaceae
Description: long non-coding RNA (SBIC_LNC011807)
Source: RNAcentral
GGGUUAGGGUUUCAGUGUACCUACGCAACCGGAGCCCGGUGCCGGAUAGGAUGCCGUAACAGAGGCCAGAGAGAGAGAAGAAGACAACGAUACACUGUCAACGACGGCGAGCAGUGGCGGAGGACAGACUAGGACAGACGGACAACAGAGAACAAACUCACAUAUCACCAGGAUCUAGAUAGGGGAGAUGGGAAGGAGAGCUGGAG